RNAcentral lists this ribosomal RNA (513 nucleotides) under uncultured Desulfobulbus sp. Its description in RNAcentral is "bacterial SSU rRNA". It matches the Rfam family "Bacterial small subunit ribosomal RNA", at positions 903 to 1382 of the family's 1533-position model. Lineage: Bacteria; Pseudomonadati; Thermodesulfobacteriota; Desulfobulbia; Desulfobulbales; Desulfobulbaceae. The record is from RNAcentral.
UGCGCCUUGCCAGCCCGCUCAGAAACUUAAAGGAAUUGACGGGGGCCCGCACAAGCGGUGGAGUAUGUGGUUUAAUUCGAUGCAACGCGAAGAACCUUACCUGGUCUUGACAUCCCGGAGACCCUUAGGAAACUAGGGGGUGCUUCCAUCUGGAAGAAUCUGGAGACAGGUGCUGCAUGGCUGUCGUCAGCUCGUGUCGUGAGAUGUUGGGUUAAGUCCCGCAACGAGCGCAACCCUUGCCUUUAGUUGCCAGCAGUUCGGCUGGGCACUCUAAAGGGACUGCCGGUGUUAAACCGGAGGAAGGUGGGGAUGACGUCAAGUCCUCAUGGCCUUUAUGACCAGGGCUACACACGUACUACAAUGGCCGAUACAAAGGGCAGCGACACUGCGAGGUGAAGCCAAUCCCGUAAAAUCGGUCUCAGUCCGGAUUGGAGUCUGCAACUCGACUCCAUGAAGUUGGAAUCGCUAGUAAUCGCGGAUCAGAACGCCGCGGUGAAUACGUUCUCGGGGUUU